Molecule: ribosomal RNA, 497 nt
Filed under: uncultured bacterium
Lineage: Bacteria
Description: partial 16S ribosomal RNA
Rfam family: Bacterial small subunit ribosomal RNA
Source: RNAcentral
GAUGAACGCUGGCGGCGUGCCUAAUACAUGCAAGUCGAGCGAACAGACGAGGAGCUUGCUCCUCUGACGUUAGCGGCGGACGGGUGAGUAACACGUGGAUAACCUACCUAUAAGACUGGGAUAACUUCGGGAAACCGGAGCUAAUACCGGAUAAUAUAUUGAACCGCAUGGUUCAAUAGUGAAAGACGGUUUUGCUGUCACUUAUAGAUGGAUCCGCGCCGCAUUAGCUAGUUGGUAAGGUAACGGCUUACCAAGGCAACGAUGCGUAGCCGACGUGAGAGGGUGAUCGGCCACACUGGAAGUGAGACACGGUCCAGACGCCUACGGGAGGCAGCAGUAGGGAAUCUUCCGCAAUGGGCGAAAGCCUGACGGAGCAACGUCGCGUGAGUGAUGAAAGUCUUCGGAGCGUAAAACUCUGUUAUUAGGGAAGAACAAAUGUGUAAGUAACUAUGCACGUCUUGACGGUACCUAAUCAGAAAGCCACGGCUAACUACGUG